Molecule: long non-coding RNA, 873 nt
Organism: Herpailurus yagouaroundi (jaguarundi)
Lineage: Eukaryota; Metazoa; Chordata; Mammalia; Carnivora; Felidae
Exons: 4
Source: RefSeq, a predicted model, not a curated record
CUCAUGCCGUCUGUCUCUCUCAAAACACACUUAAAAAAAUUUUUUUUAAAUAAAAAAAUAGUAAAUAAUCAGCUUCCAGAGGGUGUGUCCCGUGGAAAGAAACAGGAAGUCUCCUGCUAUGGGCCAAAGAUAGAGAACGGCAGUGAGGAUACUCUGUGCACGUGGGAAGGGAAUGCUACCUCUAUCCAGAUCACCCAGCCACCAAAGCUCUGCUUCACCGUACCUGCAGCGUGACACAGGUCCCCCCACAUGGUGGCUUCCAGGUUGCCACCCUGGCUGGAGCCUGAUGCAGUCAGAAACAGCAGCACACAGCAGCCCUGGUGUGCUUGGAGGGCCACGUACGUUCCUCCGGGGGGCGGGGGGCGGCUGGGGUCUCCCCGCUGAUCUCGUAGCCUUGAGAGUCAUUUACAAAGAACCUGCCUCAUAUAUUUGUAGAUUAGUUGGAUUUUGAAGUCUGCCAAUCAACCUACCCUCAGAAUGCCUGUGUGUGUGUGUGUGUGUGUGUGUGUGCGCGCGCGCGCAUCUGAUUGGUUAUUCAACAAACCAGCACGGCCCCCGUCCCUCCGCAACACGCCGUAAGACAUAAAAGUACCCACAAGUUGGUAAAAUAUAUUUUAUUCGUCCAUACAAAGAAAUAGUAUGAAUUACCAGAUUUUCAUUUUCCUAGAAACCUCUUUUCUCUGUGUAAAAUUAAUCUGUGUUAUACAUAGGACAAAAUACUUGAUUUAGUUGUUUUUUUUUUUUUGUUUUGUUUUUUUGUACAUAUUGGCUAUUCUAACAUCCAGGUUAUAGAAGACACGUCGCCAGAAUUUGCACAGUAUUUCAGAUUCCUGGGCUGAAUGAACUCCGAAGAGCACACGUCUGAACUUCAGC